Long non-coding RNA from Papilio machaon (common yellow swallowtail), 104 nucleotides. RefSeq lists it as uncharacterized. The transcript has 3 exons. The record is from RefSeq and is a predicted model, not a curated record. NCBI's taxonomy places the organism in Eukaryota, Metazoa, Arthropoda, Insecta, Lepidoptera, Papilionidae.
UAUAUAUGAAAGCUGCACAGGUUUAUUAAGUUUUGUAGACUUGACGUAAUGCAUGUAACGAAGAUGAUCGAGACUUUUCACAGAUUUCGGAGCAUUAUAAACUG